GAUGAACGCUGGCGGCGUGCCUAAUACAUGCAAGUCGAGCGAACAGAUGAGGAGCUUGCUCCUCUGACGUUAGCGGCGGACGGGUGAGUAACACGUGGAUAACCUACCUAUAAGACUGGGAUAACUUCGGGAAACCGGAGCUAAUACCGGAUAAUAUAUUGAACCGCAUGGUUCAAUAGUGAAAGACGGUUUUGCUGUCUCUUAUAGAUGUAUCCGCGCCGCAUUAGCUAGUUGGUAAGGUAACGGCUUACCAAGGCAACGAUGCGUAUCCGACAUGAGAGGGUGAUCGGCCACACUGGAACUGAGACACGGUCCAGACUCCUACGGGAGGCAGCAGUAGGGAAUCUUCCGCAAUGGGCGAAAGCCUGACGGAGCAACGCCGCGUGAGUGAUGAAGGUCUUCGGAUCGUAAAACUCUGUUAUUAGGGAAGAACAAAUGUGUAAGUAACUAUGCACGUCUUGACGGUACCUAAUCAGAAAGCCACGGCUAACUACGUG
This 497-nucleotide ribosomal RNA is filed under the name uncultured bacterium. RNAcentral's name for it is "partial 16S ribosomal RNA". It matches the Rfam family "Bacterial small subunit ribosomal RNA", at positions 28 to 507 of the family's 1533-position model. The record is from RNAcentral.